RNAcentral lists this ribosomal RNA (495 nucleotides) under uncultured bacterium. Its description in RNAcentral is "partial 16S ribosomal RNA". It matches the Rfam family "Bacterial small subunit ribosomal RNA", at positions 28 to 507 of the family's 1533-position model. The record is from RNAcentral.
GACGAACGCUGGCGGCGUGCCUAAUACAUGCAAGUAGAACGCUGAAGGAGGAGCUUGCUUCUCUGGAUGAGUUGCGAACGGGUGAGUAACGCGUAGGUAACCUGCCUGGUAGCGGGGGAUAACUAUUGGAAACGAUAGCUAAUACCGCAUAAUAGCAGUUGUUGCAUGACAACUGUUUGAAAGGUGCAAUUGCACCACUACCAGAUGGACCUGCGUUGUAUUAGCUAGUUGGUGGGGUAACGGCUCACCAAGGCGACGACACAUAGCCGACCUGAGAGGGUGAUCGGCCACACUGGGACUGAGACACGGCCCAGACUCCUACGGGAGGCAGCAGUAGGGAAUCUUCGGCAAUGGACGGAAGUCUGACCGAGCAACGCCGCGUGAGUGAAGAAGGUUUUCGGAUCGUAAAGCUCUGUUGUAAGAGAAGAACGAGUGUGAGAGUGGAAAGUUCACACUGUGACGGUAUCUUACCAGAAAGGGACGGCUAACUACGUG